UUUUUUGUCCUUUAAUUAAUUGGAUGAGAUACCAUACCACACCAAAACAAAACAAAUUAGUCAACUAGCUAGUAGUGGUGAGAAAAAGAAGUCAUUUUGUACUACUACUGCCCACAUGAUGCCACAGUACCCCAUUAUCUCCUUCCCUUUCUUUCUUCCCCUACAUCAUAUUUUCUCUAUCUGUCAAAAGUUUCGUUUCUUUAAUGGGGUUUUGUGUAUGUUCUGUCCACUGCAUGUAACAUCUUACUCAGAGAAAAGAAGUAAAAGAUCUUUUUCCUUUACUACUACUACUAGUAGUACUAGAGUUUAGGGUAUGGUGUAUUCCAACACAAUUCAGACACACAUAAAACCCUAAUGGCCGUGAUAGUAGUGGAUUCAGAAUUUAGACGCUCUGAGUUUAAGUCAGAAGAUAUGUUAUCUAGGUUUUUUUUUCUUCAUAAAAGGGGAUUGUGUUUUGGUUUUAGAUCUGAAUUUUAGCAUGAUAAUGUUUGUGGUUGGGUGUGAAGCAAAUACUAAGAGAAGGGGGGACAAGGAGAAUCAAGACUGACAGAAGAGAGUGAGCACACGCAGGCAAUUGUAUAGAGAUUAUAUUACUGUCAUUUGCGUGUGCUCACUUCUCUUGCUGUCAUCUCUCUCUAUACUUUUCCCCCAUUCUUUUUUGCUUUGCUUUGCUUCCACCACUCAAUCAGCCAACACUUGUUCAAACUGCAGGGGGCGGAUGCAGCGUAGGAUUGCUGGCUUCAACUGAACCAAUAUUUUUCAUGCGAAACAUAAAUUUAUAGGUAAAAUCUCUCAACUGAACUAUUAUUUUCGAUACGAAAUAUAAAUUUAUAGGUAAAAUCUCUCAACUAAAUCAGUACUUUCGAUGCGGAAUAUAAAUUUAUGGGUAAAAUUUCUCAAAACUAUAAAAGCUAGUAGAUAGUUUCAAUUCUAAAAAUGUUGGAGAUUGAACCGUAAAAUUUAAACUUUGAAUCCGCGGUAGGUUACGUAAGAUAAUUUAUUAUUGUUCUUUCUGAUCUUUAGCUAACAUAUAUACAUCUGUCUAAAGAAAACAGUAGCUAUAGCCUAUAGGAUUGAUGGACACGACAGUCAACAUUGCCACUGACAUAUUUGCUAUGUUGUUAACUUGUUAACCACAAAAAAUUACUGCACCAUAAUAAAAUUGACACUUAAGUCAGUUGACGUGUUCUUCUCUAGUUCUCUCUUUCUCUCUCUAUAUAUACUAUUAUUUCUACCAGUUUGUAUUUAUGUUCUCUUGGUGGGUUUUGGAGAUUAGACUGAAAGAAGCUGAAGUUUAUUAUAAAAAAAAAAUACUUAGUAGAAGAAGAAUCAGAACAGUUAUCAGAUCAGGUAAGAAUCUUAGACUUUUAGUAAUAAUUUUUACCAAUUAAAUAUUGUACUAAGCGUGUCUUUUCAUGAACUUAUUACUCCAUAUCUCUGAUGAAGAGGACGAAUGUUAGAUUUGGGAGGUACGCUUGUUACUGUUCUGUCUUAACGGAUAACUAAUUAUUUUUACGGCUUCAGUACAUUUAUUUGCAAAAAUCGAGAAAUUUAUUGAAAAAAAAUUUCACUUUUAUGAUUUUAACGGAAAACUUUCUUCUUUCUACCUUUUCUAGCUCAUUUAUAACUUCAUUGAUUUAUUUCUUGAUUUUGCUCUUGACAAUCUUGCUUUAUUUUUCCGGCUGUAUUUUUUUUUCCUUUUCUCUUUUCGUCUUAUUGAAACUAGGGUAUAUGGGAAACAGCCUCGGGUAGAGAUAGAGCCUUAGACGUCCGCGUAUACACUAGCCUUCCCAAAUUCUACUCGUGUGAUUUUACGGUCGGGUCGUUGUUGUUGUUGUUAUUGUAUUUUUCUUUUCUUGAGUGUGGUAAUCUAGGACUUAAAAAUGAGCAUAAAUUUCUCAGAUAAAAAGGAGGAAUCUUAAAAAUGUUUCUAUUCUUAAAGAUAUUCUUUUAAGUUGAUGAAUCCCGGAUUUGUUUUUUUGAGUAUGAAGGGAUUUGGUUAAAUUUAUGUGGGUUCUUGUUAAUAUUUUAUGUAGGUUUGUUGACAAGCUAAUCUCUCUUUAAUUUUGGUAAUGAUAUGCUUUUUAAUUUCAUAGUUGAGGCUAGGAAGAAAAUUAGUAAAGAUUAGAACUUUGAAUAUGACUCCUAUGUUUGAUAAGAUUUUGCUUCCUUUUCUGCGGAGGUAGGCUUCCAGUUUUUGGUAUGAAGUUUGGAGAAAAUUUUCCCAUGUACAGGUUAGAAUAUUACAUGAAUAAUGAGCUAUAAUUUUCACUUGUUUGUAUUUGAUUUAGUUCUUUUUGUUUGUAAAGAAUAUAAUUCAUUUUGUUCUUUGUUAACUGCAGUCCUUCGUUGUAAUUACACUUAAAUAUUCUAACCCUUUUUGAUAGCCACUAUUGCCUGCCGGUGGCGACAUCAAGCAGCUUUUUUCUCUUCUUUUGAUUAACAGGUAUUUGAUUUUAUCAUGCUUUUCUCUCUUCCGUUGUCUUAGUAAAUUUAAAAUCUCUCGGAAUCUAUGCAAAUCUAGUGAAAAAUAGGGUACAAUGAAAGAAAAAGAUCUGUACAACCAAUAUCAAUUUGCUGGGAUUUAUAUGUUUAGUUUAGGUUCAAUGCUUUCUUCAGUCUUUUAGUCUCGUCAGAGAAAAUGUGAGAACUUCUAGUACAUUUUGUUAUUAUUUUAUAUGAUAUUGGGAUUGGAUUUAACUUAAAUGGAGCGACAUGAAUUCAUCUAGUCGGUCCCUUUUUUGGUAUAAGCAUUGUGGUGGUGGUGGUGGUGGUGGUGGUGUAUGUUUUUCUUUCUUCUCUCACUGCUGCAAUUGGUGAAUUGUCUGAUAAAGGAAGUGGCUUUGCACCACUUGCAUGUCUAUGUUCUAUUUCUUGUUGAGAUGUAGUAAAUAUGGAGUUCUUUUUGGGAUCAGUUUAGUCCUAGUUUAUAUCAGCUGAAUGGAUAUGUUUGACACAAAUAUUUGACUUUGGGAUUGUAAACUUGAGCUAGUAAGGGUAGCUCGGUGCACAAAGUAUCCCGCAUUUAUGUAAAAUUCGGGGAAGGACCGCACCCCAAGGGGUGUUGUAGACAGUCUACCCUAAUGCAAGUAUUAUUAGCUGUGGAAUGCAAGUAUUAUUAGUUGCUUCCAUCGUAACCUAGAUCACACAAAGACAACUUUACCGUUGCUCCUAGGCUCCUCUUCAAAACUUGAGCUAGUACUUUCUUGAAUAGAUUUUAGUUGCAUACACUGACAGUGUAAGGUUAUACACUACUCUCACUGAAGUUUAGCCUAUUAUGUCAUGUUAGCAGAUUACCGACUAAUGUUUAUCGUAUAGUUCUAUUUGUAAUUAUCUUAUAAAUGACUUAAUUGUGGAAAUAUUUAUGUACGAGUGCAUAAGGGACUAAUUUACAAGUAUAAAAGGUCCAAAAGGAGACUGAGAACUUUUGCACUUGCUCUAAGUACAUGUUGCUCCAUCAUUUUUCAAAAAUUGUAUAAUGAAAAUUAUUUCACAUUUCUCUCAAGUGAUUGUGUGGCUUAAUCGAGUUUGUAUGUUGAAAAAGUAUAGAUACUGCAUGUAGACUUCCAAAAUUAUUUAGCAGAUUAUGGUCUUGCUGAAUUGAGUAAUUUAUGAGUUUCCUUUGAAAUUAACUGACAACCAUGUGUUUGAAAUUUGGUAUUGGGACAAUAUUUCUAGAAGUUUCUUGAGUCGCGGGUCUAUUGAAAACAGCCUCUCUAUCCCUAUAAGGUAGGGGUAAAGUCUGCGUACACACUACCCUCUCAGACCCCAUUUAUGGAAUUGCACUGGGUUUGUUGUUGUUGUUGGACAACAUCUCUAGAAAUUAGUAUCUUCAUCUUUGUGUUUCUUUAUUGGUAUAUUUUAUUUGUUUGUUUUAGUAGUAAUUGACUAUUAGCUGUGACUAUUGGGAGGGGUAAAUGGUGUUACUGUAGCUUGUGAUAGUAAAGUUGCUUAUUGUAAAAUCCCACAAGUGGGGUCUGGGGAGGGUAGUGUUUACGCAGACCUUACUCCUACCCCGAAGGAGUAGAAAGGCUGUUUCCGGAAGACUCUCGGCUCAAGAUAAUAAAAAGACACUAUGUUAGAUAUAGGCAUUUUGUGAGGACUUGGUGCAAUUUGUAUAGCAUCUUGGUGGAGGAAAUAGUGUUCGAACACUAUAUUUGAACAUGGUAGGAUGGUAACAACAACAACAACAAACCCAGUGUAAUCCCACAAGUAGGGUCUGGGAAAGGUAGUGUGUACUCACACCUUACCCUACCUUUAAGAACACUAUAUUUGGACGUGGUGUGAUGGUACAUCUAUAAAUUUCUAGUUGGGAAGUCCUUUAUGCCUAACUCAAUUUUCUUUAAUUUGACAGAGAAUUAACAACUAUGAGAUCUAGCAUUGUUUUCUCGCAACAAAAUUAAGGAAUUAAAAACACUUCGAAUAUAGGAAGCAGCUCAAGUGGGAUAUUUGUUAUACGUUUGAGUGUUAGAGGCUGUGAAUUCUAAUAAUGUUCUUCAGUACACAAUUUCUAUUGCGUUCUUUGCUAGUUGGACUUGGAUAAGUAUUCUCACUAGGUUAGCAAGAAUUUUGUAUUGCCAGAAAAAAAUGUUGAAUACUCUAUUAUAACGAUAUAAUUUUUCCCCUAUUGUUAUUGUUCAGAGACGAUUUACAUAACGGACCCCCAACUUAUUUUGGAUUGAGGCGCAGUUGUUGCAGUUUGCUGUUCUCCCCGCCCUAAUGUUAUUGGUAACUGAGCAGCUCUUGCUUGUACAUUGCAGUAUCUAAAGAUGAACUAUAGGCAUGCGAAGCAUUUCAUAUUAAUGAUAUAAUGAAAGGCAGCCCGAGCAAAGUGCACGAGGUUAUGCUGGCUUUAUGGAGGAAUUUUUGGUACGGUAAAGCUCAACCCCCCACCCCCCACCCACAAGAAGCUUAGCCAUGAUCCUUUUCUGCUUUGUUCCCUCAUUAAUACGAAUAUCGCUAGCUAGACUUUUACUCCCUUCUCGGCUUGUCUUUUAGACUUAUUGUGCAAAGAUUCAUGAUUUGAUCUUCUAACGUUUAGGUAGUAGUAGAGAAACUUCAAUUUAAUUAGCUCGUACUUGAAUUAGAAUUAUUAUCUUCUCUUUUGUCUAUGUGACAUUUAUCUGGAACUUGAAAUGUAAGUUUACUCCAUUUUACUGGAUUUCCAGAAACGUCUCUUGCAGUUCAUUUGAUAUACAAGAGUACAAUGCUUGAUAGCAUGAUGAUUCAUUUAGGGGUCGUUUGGUUGGGAAACAAGUUACCCCAGGAUUAAUUUUCCCGAGAUUGUUCUCCCACCCUCUUGAAGGGAAAAAUAUAUCUCAAAUUUAAUCCCGUCCCUUAUCCCUUGUACCAAACAAGCCCUUAGUUUCUUAAUUUCACUUAGGUGAAUCUAAUGAGAUGAUAAAUAUUUGACCACUUGUUGUCAAAGCCAGUGUAACAUUGAGAUGACUUGCAUUUUUAUUAUAAAUUGUUCUGUUAAUCCAUCAGUCAGCUAAACCUCACCCUUAGAAUAGCUAGUUGGUGGCACGUAUACAAAUCUUGGAUAUUGUUAAGAAAAUAGAACUUGGGUCUAAUUCAACUCCAAAAGUUAGCUCAGGAGGUGAGAUUGACCCAAUUAGAGCGCCAAUUGAUGUGGGCUGCUAUAAAAUCCCCUUGCACCCUAAUACAUGGAUAUUAGAGCGUGGUUAUAAUAUAGGGCACAAACAUUAGGAAACACAUCAACUGGACUGAGGCAUAGUUGUUGUUGUAGCUGUUCUCCUGUGCCUAAUGUUAUUGGUAACCAAGCAGCUCUUGCUUGUACAAUGCAGAAUCUAAAGAUGAACUAUUGGCAUGCCAAGCAUUUCAUAUUAAUGAUAAGAAGAAAAGCAGCCAGAGCAAAACGCACGAGGUUAUGCUGGCUUUAGGAGGAAUUUUUCGAUACGCUAAACCUCACUCGAUUUCUCCCCCUAAAUCCCUUACCUAGAAUAUUAGCGGUGACCCUUUUCUGCUUUGUUCCCUCGUUGAUAUGGAUGCUGCUAGGUUUUUCUCCCUUCUCGGCUUGUCUUUUAGGCUUGUUGUGCAAAGAUUCAUGAAUUGAUCUUCUAACAUUUAGGUAAUAGUAGAGCAAUUUCAAUUUAAUUAGCUCUUACUUGAAUUAGAAUUAUUAUCUUCUCUUUUGUCCAUGCGACAUUUUUCUGGAACUUGAAAUGUAAGUUUACACCAUUUCACUUGAUUUUAGAACUUGUCAUCAUGCAUUGCUAAAAUCUCUCCGCUCUAGCUAUUCAUACUUCUAGCAACGUCUCUCUUGCAGUUCAUUGAUGUACCAAGAUUACAAUGCUUGAUAGCAUGAUGAUUCGUUUAAUUUCUUAAUUUCACUUGGGUGAAUCUGAUGAGAUGAUAAAUGUCUGACCACUUGUUGUCAAGACCAGUGUAACAUUGAUGCGACUUGCAAAUUUUUGUAUAAAUUGUUAUGUUAAUCCAUCAAUCAAUUAAACGUCACCCCUAGAAUAGCUAGUUGGUGGCAUCUAUACAAAUCUUGGAUAUUGUUCGGUCUAGUUUAACCCCAAAUUAAGUUAGCUCAUGAGGUGAGAUUUACUUGAUUAGAUCAUAUAAGGAGACAAUAUCCCCUCCGUCGACCGAUGUGGAACAUGACGCUCAGACAUGGAUUAAUUAGAGUGUGGUUAAUAUAGGGCACAAACAUUAGGAAACACAUCAAGGGAUGGGCCUGGUGCUAAUACCAUGUUAAGAAAAUUGACCUUUAGUAUAUUGCAACUUCAAAAAGAUAGCUAAUGAGAUGAGAAUUGUCCAAAACUAUACGAGGAGACAACUCCUCAUUUCUUCAACCAAUGUGUGAUACUCUUAACAUAUAUCAAUAAAAUGAUAUUUGAUUAAUUAACAAAAAAAGUGGAAGGGAGCCUUGGCGUAACGGGUAUAGUUGCUGCCGUGUGACCUCGAGCCGUAGAAACAGCCUCUUGUAGAAAAUAUAGGGUAAGGCUGCGUACAAUAGACCAUUGUGGCCCGGUCCUUUACUGGACUCCCUGCACAACGAGAGCUUAGUGCACUGGGCUGCCCUUUUAACGAAAAAACUACUGUCGAUUUACUAACUUCAACUCUUGGAUUCCAAGAUUGUCUUCUCCAGUUGUUUCUAUUCCUUUUUUUUCUCCUCUAAAUUAUGCUCUACUUUUUACUGCUCUAGGAAGAUGCUGGCUACCCAUUUCCUUGGCUGAGCUUGGAGUUCUGUAAGCUGUAAGUUUGUUAAGCUUCAUUUACAAAGUUGUUACAGGAGUAUGCGUAAUUUAACAUUUAUCUGAAGUGACAAUUUUUAUCCAAAUAGCAUAAUAAAUUAAACUGCAAGAUAAGGCAUGUAAAGUUAUAUUGAAUAUAUAGUUAUAUUUAGUCCUUCAAAAUGCCAACUAAGGGCAGUCCGGUGUACUAAGCUCCCGCUAUGCGUGGGGUCCGGGUAAGGGUCGGACCACAAGGGUCUAUCGUACGCAGCCUUACCCUGCAUUUUUGCAAGAGGCUAUUUUCACGGCUCGAACCCGUGACCUCCUUCAAAAUGCCAAUUGUUUACUAAUAUUUGGCCAAAAGAUAAUACUCCUAUAAGUUUAUGCAAUCUCAUAAAUGAAAAACUUUUUUCUAUUCAAUACACUGUGUUCAUGAUUAAAUCUUCAGCCAACUGUUUCUAAUUCAUGUCUUGGUGCUUCCCAAUGGAGCUUUUUUGUAUUUUUUUUGAAUAUAUUUUUACGUCAUUGCCAUCGUUUCCUUAUCACAUGGUUCUAAAGCUUCUAGUAUUUUAAAGAAUUGGAUAAGCAAAACAUAAAACCAGUAAAAUGAUCAGCUGAUGAUAGGAUUGAAUGUACUAUAUAUUACGUGAUGGUAGUUUCUUCACUUCCUAGCAAAAUUGUGAAUUCAUAAUCUUUAUCUGAUUGUCUAAAAGCUAUUUCCAGUAAAGAAUAAAAUGCAUAAAAUAAUGGAAAAGAUUAAUAAUAGGCAUGCUGUGUAACCUUUGGAAGAACAUAUGCAGUGCAAAGUAUGGAGGAAAGUCAUCCUCCGUGGCCAGGGUCUUGUUCUCUAGUAACUCAGAUGUUUCAGCGAUGCUGAGAACCUGUUUCCCUCAUAUCACAUGGCCGUUCAACUGGAAUGAACUAAAACCGAUAGUUGAACAAAUUAAGAACCACACCUCUGUCAUUCAAGUCAUCUGGCAAAGACCUGAAACAAAUUUUGUGAAGGUCAAUAGUGAUGGGAGUGCUUUGAGUAAUCCAGGUAGAAUUGGGUUCGAGUCAUUGAGGGGAAGAGUGGGAAAAACCACUAUCGGUCUCUAGUGAGCGGGUAUACCAAAUCAAAAGGAAAAAAGAAGAAAUAAGUUAUUUGGGCCUUUUGGUGACUGGGGUUUACUAAAUUCCAUAUUGUCGAAAGAAAUAUAGUCCUAUUUCUAGUUUAUGUCAAGUCACUACGUAUAUCAAGUUUGCAAGGUGGGCUAUGUCAAGUCGUAACGUAGUCGAGUUUGGAAGGUGGGCUAUGUCAAGUCGCAACAUAUGUCAAGUUUGCAAGGUGGGCUAUGUCAAGUCGCAACGUAGUCAAGUUUGGAAGGUGGGCUAUGUCAAGUCGCAACGUAUGUCAAGUUUGUAAGGUGGGAUUUACCAAAUGCCAUACAUCGAAAAGAAUAUAGUCCUAUUGCAAGUCGAAAUUUACAAUCUAUACCACUUGGAUAUAUAAUUCAAAGGUCUAGAUUUAAUUUUGUGCAUUGAUUGACUCUUUUGUAGGGAUAAGGCUGGGGUAAGGCUACGUACAUCUCAUCCUCCCUAAACCGCACUUGUGGGAAUACACUGAGUUGUUAUUGUUGUCGUUGUUGUUGUUGUUGAUCGACUCUUUUGUAGUUAUAUUCUAUGACAAUUUGGUUUUAUGUCUUCACGUGGUGGUCUAGAAUGGCUUGGAGCGCUCUAAUGCCAGGCUAGAUGUUAUGAUUGCUUUAUAAGCGAGGUAAAACAUGAUAGAUAAUGGUAAGGAAGGGAUAAAUUAGUCACUUCACUUAUUGGAAGUUUUUUAAUGGUGAUUAGUGUCCAGAAGGGGAAAAAAUAAAGGAGCAGAAGUUUGUUAAUCUUGUGCAUUAAUUAGAGAAUGUGUAUAUAGGUAGUUAAGCUAUUCUUUGUUAAAAUGAUAUUUGCAGGGAUUUGGAUGCUGAAGCGGAGGGAUGAAAAUCAGUGUAACCUUAAUUCAAGUAUGAUUAAGGUAAGUGAUCCAUUCUCCUACAUUGUUACGUUUCGUAUCCCUCUCCCACACUCCACUCACUUAUAAGCAUGGGACUUGUUUAUGCAGAAAAAUCACAUCUUCAAGUGAGUUUCGGAUACCGGAUGCAUUAAAAAAAAAUAUUUUCAUUUUUUCCUAAAAAAGCAUUUAAAAUGAAGUCUAUGUGCGAAAUGGGGCUUAAAUAGCAACUGACUCCGCAUCUGGGGUCCGCGCAACGCCACCUCUAAGACGAGCUUCUGCAACCUGAUAUUCCAAAACCUCUCUCGAACACCCCAAAUCUCACCGAGACCCCCGGAAUCCCGUCCAAUCAUUACAAUAAGUUUGUGUAGUAUACCAUAUACAAACUUGUCCAAGAGCUCAAAACAUAUUCGGAAACUUCACAUCUAAGAGUCAAGAUCCAAACCAAAAUAUAAACUUUCUCUUAAGUUCUUCAAGUUUCAAUUUUCACAAGAUAGACCCGAAUCACAUCCAAGCCCUUCGGUUCACCUCUCAACCAUUCCAACAAGUCCAAGAGAGAUUCAUGAUUGUUCAUGGUUCAUUCUUAGCUCUUCAAUGUAAAAUUAAAAUUUCAAAUUGGAGACCGGUUAAAAGUCUUUUCUGGAACAUUGAUUGCACUAUUAACAGCUUUAGGACCUUGACAGUCCCCAUCUAGACUGCCUAUGUGUUUAACCAAAUUUGCACCAUUUUGAACAUGUCCUGCCCCUCCUUGACAAUUCUGCCCAGAAACAGCAACAACUGCAUCAGCACUAACCUUCAAAGCAACAGCUGGGAGUUUGAGUUUCAAUGAACCUGCUGCAUUACCUACUGAUAUUCCUUGAUUAUCAGUAGUUAAAUCCAACACUUGCACAUCUGCUCGAUCACCAACUUCCUUUCGCCCAGCAGUAGCCACAAAACUUUGUUUUCCUCCUUCAUUUUGCAAAAGUUGCUGAUUUUCUACUGUUAAGAAUUUUUUUGGAGAUGGCGGACCAUUUAGCUGGUUGAAUCAUUUAUCCUGCUUCAUGAGCCACUUGUGUUUCUUAAAAAAAGAAAAGGUCCUUAGCUUCUAGAUUGAUUGUGCUAUUUAAGGAUGAACUAUGUGACUUGAGUGAUCAAUUAAGUUAUGAGAAUAAUCGGUCAUAUAUAUCUGAAUCGCUUGUACCGAAGAACAUGAGUGAUCCAUAAUGAAGAUGGGACUGUUCUUUUGCUACGAAAUAAACGAGUAAUUACUUGCCAGUAGUCAAAAUCAGAUACAAUGGCUCCAAGCAAUUACUUGCUAGCUUUAUGCAUUCUCUUGUUCCUUGUAGCAGCCACCAACAUUGCUUAUGCAAACAACAGUUAUGGAAAUGGACCUAAUUUGCUUGUUCCUAAGCCGCAGUAUGUUCAGUUGUUGGUUAUAAUGUUGUUUUUCGUAAUAGCAUAUUCUGUUGUUGUUUUGGUUCAAUAGCUGUCAGACAUAAUAUUGUUUAGAUGGUGUUGUUUUGGUUCAGUAAUUUGUGCUUGAAGCUGCUUUAAGUACUUUAUGACUCAAUUAUCCUAAAAAUUUUGUUUAAUUAUUUCUCAUUGUCUUUUGCAGGUGCAGUGAUUGCGGAUGAAAGCAGUGACGAAGACUUUACUUGAGUGUUGUUGAUCGUUAUUAGACUUUCUAUUAUUAUGUUUAAGGAUAUUUUAGUUUAGAAUUUUUUGUAUGCAAACUCAUCUAUUUUGACUUUUGAAUUGUUGACCAAACAAACAAUGUAUCCAUAUUUUGUUUUUGCACAUGGAUAAUGCUAGUUGGAUAUGGUGUAAACAAUUUCAUAGAAUAGGAAAAUAUUU
Molecule: long non-coding RNA, 11016 nt
Filed under: Nicotiana tabacum (common tobacco)
Lineage: Eukaryota; Viridiplantae; Streptophyta; Magnoliopsida; Solanales; Solanaceae
Description: long non-coding RNA (NTAB_LNC005704)
Rfam family: mir-156 microRNA precursor family (bases 544-629)
Source: RNAcentral